UUUUUUUUUAUACCAGGAAUUGGACUCAGGGACACUGAACCACUGAGCCACAUCCCUAGCCAUUUUUACUUUUUGAGACAGUGUCUUGCAAAGUUCUUUAGGGCCUCAUUUUUAACUUGCCAUCCUUCUAUCUGAGCCUCCUAAAUCACUGGGAAUAUAGGUGUGCACCAUUGCACCUGGCUAUAUCUGACUAAUUUAAAAGUAAUGUUUUCAUUAUUAUUCAAUUUGAAGUACAAUCCAAAUCUCAUUACAAGUAUAAUGUACUAUUUGACUCAUGGUUACUUAGAAGUUUAUAUUCUUUUUUAAAAAUUUAUUUUAUUUAUUUAUUUUUUAAAAUAUUUAUUUUUUAGUUUUUUUGGGUGGACACAAUAUCUUUAUUUUAUAUUUAUGUGGUGCUGAGGAUUGAACCCAGAGCCUCACACAUGCUAAGCAAGUGCUCUACCCCUGAGCCACAACCCUAGCCCUAGAAGUUUAUAUUAUUAAAGAUGUAUUUUUCCUAUCCAUUUUUGGUUUCAGUCUAAUUCUGUUAUAAUUACUGACCAUGAGAUAUAUGAUUCUGACUUGUGAUGGUUGUGAUGUGAGUUGAAUACUAUCAGCAUUUAGAAAUAUCCUAUUUGGAGCUGGGUAUGGUGGUGUACACCUGUAAUCUCAAUGGUUUGGGAGAGGCUGAGGCAGGAGGAUUGAAAGUUCAAAGCCACCUUGGCAACUUAGAGAUACCCUAAGCAACUUAGCAAGACCCCAACUCAAAAACAAAAAAACAAAAAACAUAAAAAGGGCUGGGGAUAUAGCUCAGUGGUUAAGUGCCCCUGGUUAAAAAAAGAAAAGGAAGGACAACAAAGAAAUAUUCUAUUUGUAUUUAAGUAAUCUGUAUAUUCUAACUUUGGAAUGCAGAGUUUAAUAUCUGUCCAUUGUAUAGUUAGUUACCCAGCCUCAGGUAUUUUAGCAGUGAAAACUAAGACAGCAGCAAAAGCUAAUUUGUAAAGUCACCCAAUGGCUGAGGACAAUUCUUGGCUAUAAGCUUUAAAAGCUGCAAUGAAAGUUUAUUAUUGAUAAGUCAAGAAACUGAUAUGUGGUUAGUUAAGUCAGUAUAUCAACCCGUAUUUCUAACAGAAAUUUAGGGAACUGACCAUAGUUAAGUUCAUCACAAUAAAUGAAGUUCACCAUUGACAUUACUGGUUCAAUAAUGAGUGAUAGUUAAAUAUUUACCUUAGAGUAACUGCUGAUAAAUAAUACAAUGAAUAACUAUACGUUUAUAUUUUCACAAAUUUUGUAAAUUUGUCUAAUAGUCUUAGACUGUCACUGUUUGACCCAUCUGUUACUCAGAAGUUUAGAGUCUUAAAAAUAUACUUUUUUUGUUUGUUUGUUUCAGUCUAAUUAUAUUGUGGUUAUAGAACAUGGAAUAUGUGUCUCUGACUUGUGAUUUGAAUUGACUGUUGUCAGCAUUUAUAAAUACUCUAUUUAUAGGAUAUUUAUUGCCACCAGUAGUAACACAUUUUAGUAUGUUCUACUUCAGGCUUUUUCCAGUUUGUUUGAAAGUAUUCUCACAUAUUGUUGUUCCAUGCAGAUUACUCAUAAAGGCUAAUUCUUUAGUUACUUUAACUCAGCAAAUAUCAUUCAAAGAAACAACUA
Molecule: long non-coding RNA, 1629 nt
Filed under: Marmota monax (woodchuck)
Lineage: Eukaryota; Metazoa; Chordata; Mammalia; Rodentia; Sciuridae
Source: RNAcentral